This 253-nucleotide ribosomal RNA is filed under the name uncultured bacterium. Its description in RNAcentral is "partial 16S ribosomal RNA". It matches the Rfam family "Bacterial small subunit ribosomal RNA", at positions 524 to 776 of the family's 1533-position model. The record is from RNAcentral.
UACGGAGGGAGCUAGCGUUAUUCGGAAUUACUGGGCUUAAAGGGUGCGUAGGCGGCGCGGAAAGUUGGAUGUGAAAUCCCACGGCUCGACCGUGGAACUGCGCCCGAUACUGCAUGGCUUGAGGGAGACAGAGGUAAGCGGAACUGAUGGUGGAGCGGUGAAAUGCGUUGAUAUCAUCAGGAACACCGGUGGCGAAAGCGGCUUACUGGGUCUCUUCUGACGCUGAGGCACGAAAGCUAGGGUAGCGAACGGG